GACGAACGCUGGCGGCGUGCUUAACACAUGCAAGUCGAACGCUGAAGACCUGGCUUUUGUUGGGUUGGAUGAGUGGCGAACGGGUGAGUAACACGUGAGUAACCUGCCCUCUUCUUUGGGAUAACGCCCGGAAACGGGUGCUAAUACUGGAUAUUCACUGAUCUUCGCAUGGGGGUUGGUGGAAAGGUUUGUUCUGGUGGGGGAUGGGCUCGCGGCCUAUCAGCUUGUUGGUGGGGUGAUGGCCUACCAAGGCUUUGACGGGUAGCCGGCCUGAGAGGGUGACCGGUCAGGUUGGGAGUGAGAUACGGGCCAGACUCCUACGGGAGGCAGCAGUGGGGGAUAUUGCACAAGGGGCGAAAGCCUGAUGCGGCGACGCCGCGUGGGGGAGGGAGGCCUUCGGGUUGGAAACCUCUUUCGCUCAUGGUCAAGCCGCAACUGUGGGUUGUGGUGAGGGUAGUGGGUAAAGAAGCGCCGGCUAACUACGUG
RNAcentral lists this ribosomal RNA (486 nucleotides) under uncultured bacterium. RNAcentral's name for it is "partial 16S ribosomal RNA". It matches the Rfam family "Bacterial small subunit ribosomal RNA", at positions 28 to 507 of the family's 1533-position model. The record is from RNAcentral.